Molecule: non-coding RNA, 206 nt
Organism: Oryza meridionalis
Lineage: Eukaryota; Viridiplantae; Streptophyta; Magnoliopsida; Poales; Poaceae
Source: Rfam
AAUAAGCGCAUCUGUGGGUUUCAGUGCCCAACUUUAACCAUCCGUCUUAUUUGAAAUAUUUUUAUGAUUAGUUUUUUUUAUUGUUAUUAGAUGAUAAAAUAUGAAUAUUACUUUAUGCGUGACUUAACUUGUAAAAUUUUUUCAUAAUUUUUCAAAUAAGACGGACUGUCAAACGUUGGGCAUGAAAACUUAUGGCUAUACUUAUA